CCUACGGGGGGCAGCAGUGGGGAAUAUUGGGCAAUGGGCGCAAGCCUGACCCAGCAACGCCGCGUGAAGGAAGAAGGCUUUCGGGUUGUAAACUUCUUUUGUCAGGGACGAAGCAAGUGACGGUACCUGACGAAUAAGCCACGGCUAACUACGUGCCAGCAGCCGCGGUAAUACGUAGGUGGCAAGCGUUAUCCGGAUUUAUUGGGUUUAAAGGGUGCGUAGGCGGACAGUCAAGUCAGCGGUAAAAAUGCGGUGCUCAACGCCGUACAGCCGUUGAAACUGGCAGUCUUGAGUGGGCGAGAAGUAUGCGGAAUGCGUGGUGUAGCGGUGAAAUGCAUAGAUAUCACGCAGAACUCCGAUUGCGAAGGCAGCAUACCGGCGCCCGACUGACGCUGAGGCACGAAAGCGUGGGUAUCGAACAGGAUUAGAUACCCCAGUAGUC
RNAcentral lists this ribosomal RNA (442 nucleotides) under uncultured bacterium. RNAcentral's name for it is "partial 16S ribosomal RNA". It matches the Rfam family "Bacterial small subunit ribosomal RNA", at positions 338 to 795 of the family's 1533-position model. The record is from RNAcentral.